GUGGGGAAUAUUGGACAAUGGGCGCAAGCCUGAUCCAGCAAUUCCGCGUGAGCGAAGAAGGCCUUCGGGUUGUAAAGCUCUUUCGGCGGGGACGAUAAUGACGGUACCCGCAGAAGAAGCCCCGGCUAACUCCGUGCCAGCAGCCGCGGUAAUACGGAGGGGGCUAGCGUUGUUCGGAAUCACUGGGCGUAAAGCGCACGUAGGCGGCUACUCCAGUCAGAGGUGAAAGCCCGGGGCUCAACUCCGGAAUUGCCUUUGAAACUAGGUAGCUUGAACGUCGGAGAGGUAAGUGGAAUUCCGAGUGUAGAGGUGAAAUUCGUAGAUAUUCGGAAGAACACCAGUGGCGAAGGCGACUUACUGGACGACUGUUGACGCUGAGGUGCGAAAGCGUGGGGAGCAAACAGGAUUAGAUACCCUUGUAGUCC
This 425-nucleotide ribosomal RNA is filed under the name uncultured bacterium. Its description in RNAcentral is "partial 16S ribosomal RNA". It matches the Rfam family "Bacterial small subunit ribosomal RNA", at positions 354 to 796 of the family's 1533-position model. The record is from RNAcentral.